This 618-nucleotide ribosomal RNA is filed under the name Triticum aestivum (bread wheat). Its description in RNAcentral is "partial small subunit ribosomal RNA". The record is from RNAcentral. Lineage: Eukaryota; Viridiplantae; Streptophyta; Magnoliopsida; Poales; Poaceae.
AUGGAGGUUCCGGAAGAUCGUAGAGUUUCUUUGGUCGCAUACAAGCUGAAAGGAGGAGCCGGUGCAUGGUGGCAUCGCGUUCAAGAAGAGCGUAGGUUGAGAAGAGAACCUCGUGUGAGAGCUUGGCGGCAAAUGAAAAGUCUCUUGAAAAGGAGAUUUUUGCCCGCUGAUUAUGACCAGAUCAUAUUUAUCCAAUUUCAAAAUUGUGCUCAAGGAAAUAGGACUGUUUCAGACUACACGGAGGAGUUUCUACGGCUACAAGUGUGGUGCAACCUUGUUGAAACUGAAGAUCAACAAGUUGCAAGGUACAUCAAUGGUGAUGCUAUGCAAGAUCGAUUGAUGAUGCAACAAAUCUGGUCCGUUGAUCAAGCACAAGCUCUAGCCUUAAAGGCCGAGAGGUUUGUGAGGAUGAGAAAGACAACUAAGGCUACAUAUCCUCCAUAUCCUCAUACCGAAGGCUCAUCUAGGAGCCAACCUAAUAGAGUGGAAGAAAAGACCACUCCACCAAAGAUAAAACAGCCCAUCCCAAAGCAAACUAGAGGCAAGGGUAAGGCAAAUGAAGGCCCAAAUGCUAUAAAUGUGGUAAAGAGGGACACAUAUCCAGCGGUUGUCCACUAA